CUCACCAUUCCUGAUGUCCAAAGGGGCAAGUAGCAGUUAGUUAACUGUAUUAGUUCAUUGUGAUCCUGGGUUAUGCAUAUGGCAAAGGUAUAUUGUUACCUCAUAGAGAGAGCUUGAGGCUUGCUGUUUAAGUUCUUUUUGUGGAAGGUCAUUGAAUCACUAAUUCAGUGUGUUGGCUGAAGGUCCCUAGCUGUGCAAUAGAGGGAGGGGACAAGAUUUACAGGGCUUUUCAUGGACUUAAGCAGUAUGGACAGUACUGACAGUCCAGGCAGGGCUGUACUACCGUAGUAACUGGGCUACUGGACACCUGGACACAAUCUCUGAGUGGAAAGAGAGGACACGUCUGAAAAGUCAUGGAAGUAUGGAAUUCCUAAAAGGUAGGUGUCUGAGUUAAGUGCAUAUACUGUGUAAGCAAGUCUCCAGAGAAUAACUGAGUGUGCCAAUAUUCCCUGCAUCAACU
RNAcentral lists this long non-coding RNA (460 nucleotides) under Ficedula albicollis (Collared flycatcher). RNAcentral's name for it is "lncRNA (ENSFALG00000025704.1)". Lineage: Eukaryota; Metazoa; Chordata; Aves; Passeriformes; Muscicapidae. The record is from RNAcentral.